This 119-nucleotide ribosomal RNA is filed under the name Pteropus alecto (black flying fox). Lineage: Eukaryota; Metazoa; Chordata; Mammalia; Chiroptera; Pteropodidae. The record is from RNAcentral.
GUCUACGGCCAUGCCACCCUGAAUGUGCCCGAUCCCAUCUGAUCUCAGAAGGCAAGCAGGGUCGGGCCCGGUUAGUACUUGGAUGGGAGACCACCUAGAAAGACCAGGUGCUGUAGGCG